RNAcentral lists this ribosomal RNA (253 nucleotides) under uncultured bacterium. RNAcentral describes it as "partial 16S ribosomal RNA". It matches the Rfam family "Bacterial small subunit ribosomal RNA", at positions 524 to 776 of the family's 1533-position model. The record is from RNAcentral.
UACGUAGGUGGCAAGCGUUGUCCGGAAUUAUUGGGCGUAAAGCGCGCGCAGGUGGUUUCUUAAGUCUGAUGUGAAAGCCCAGGGCUCAACCGUGGAGGGUCAUUGGAAACUGGGGAACUUGAGUGCAGAAGAGGAAAGUGGAAUUCCAAGUGUAGCGGUGAAAUGCGUAGAGAUUUGGAGGAACACCAGUGGCGAAGGCGACUUUCUGGUCUGUAACUGACACUGAGGCGCGAAAGCGUGGGGAGCGAACAGG